CUGGGGUCCCCAGAAGCGCCCACUGGGAUAAAAGAGCAGAUACCACCACCACUGCCACCACUGUUGGCUGAGGCUCCACAGUUCCCUGGUGAAAAGAAAACUUCAUCCCCUUCUCCACACAGGAAGGCAGCAGCUACUUCCUACUGAGGAAUCCUAAAUCGUUUGGAUUUGUAACACCUUGUUAUCUAGGAUUGCAUUUCUGCAGCCUCUCCAGUCUUGCCUGGAAAACAUUCCCAAGAGGUCCUUAAGUUCCCCAGAUUCUCAUUUCAUGUUCUGAGAUCUCAGGCUUCUUUAUCCCAAUCAAAACCUGUUCCCAGAAAAAGAUUUGACUUCUCAUUUACACUAGGGUGAUAACAAACUGAUAAUUGCUUAAUUGUUAUUCUUUUCUGAGCUAGUUUCAUUUCCUAACUUAAUAGCUACAAGCAUCAGGCAAUUAGUGUGUGCCUGGUCCUUGCUAAGCACUUCAGGAACAUUUAUCUCUUUUGAAACAGAUAGACCUUGGGCAAAAUAAUGUCAAGGUCCCUGAUAAGAUUCUGGCCUCAGGCUAUCAAAGGGGGAAGCUUGUAGAAAGCAAAGUCAAAAAGAUACAGCUCCCUCAUCCAAAAGCAUGGCCCUGCUCAACACCUCCCCACUACUACAAAGCAGCUAAUGUUUAUUGAUUACCUACUAUGUGCCAAGGUACAAUUGUGCUAAACAUUUUUCUUACAUUAACACAGUCCCCUAACAAUCUGUAAGAUGAAUAUAUUCUCAUUUUCAAUUAAAGAUACUGAGAUUCAAAGAUGUGAAAAGGCAACACGUGUAACUUUU
Molecule: long non-coding RNA, 807 nt
Filed under: Marmota monax (woodchuck)
Lineage: Eukaryota; Metazoa; Chordata; Mammalia; Rodentia; Sciuridae
Source: RNAcentral